This 22-nucleotide microRNA is filed under the name Dasypus novemcinctus (nine-banded armadillo). Its description in RNAcentral is "dno-miR-216b-3p". Its record names the gene dno-miR-216b-3p. The record is from miRBase by way of RNAcentral. Lineage: Eukaryota; Metazoa; Chordata; Mammalia; Cingulata; Dasypodidae.
ACACUUACCUAUAGAGAUUCUA